CUUAAUGCGUAGACCAAGAGGGUAAUCAAGGGUGUUUUCAGCGACGGGGCGGCUGGUGCGAGCCUCGACCGAAUUGAUUACUGUAGCUUGUGAGUGCCACUUUGAAUUCAGUAGAAGCGGCCGGUUAGCCAUCGUUAACGGCGCUAAGUGGGGAGUAAUCCCAAUUUAGGUGGUACCGCGAGUCAACUCGUCCUAAUU
Molecule: non-coding RNA, 198 nt
Filed under: Lacticaseibacillus saniviri
Lineage: Bacteria; Bacillati; Bacillota; Bacilli; Lactobacillales; Lactobacillaceae
Description: Lactobacillus saniviri T-box sequence
Rfam family: T-box leader
About the family: Uncharged tRNA acts as the effector for transcription antitermination of genes in the T-box leader family. T-boxes are found upstream of many aminoacyl-tRNA synthetase genes and some amino acid biosynthetic genes usually in Gram-positive bacteria.
Source: RNAcentral